Molecule: ribosomal RNA, 506 nt
Filed under: uncultured fungus
Lineage: Eukaryota; Fungi
Description: eukaryotic LSU rRNA
Rfam family: 5.8S ribosomal RNA (bases 144-297)
Source: RNAcentral
CACCCUUGUCUAUUCUAUCACGUUGCUUUGGCGGGCCCAUCCCUCAGCGGAUCGUCGGAGGGUCUUCCCCCCGGCCCGUGCCCGCCAGUAGCCCCCACAAAUUCUUCAAUAGUGAUGUCUAAGUCUUAACAAACAAUAAGUAAAACUUUCAACAACGGAUCUCUUGGUUCUGGCAUCGAUGAGGAACGCAGCGAAAUGCGAUAAGUAAUGCGAAUUGCAGAAUUCCGUGAGUCAUCGAAUCUUUGAACGCACAUUGCGCCCUUUGGUAUUCCGAAGGGCAUGCCUGUUCGAGCGUCAUUAUCAACCCUCAAGCCCGGCUUGCUGUUGGGUCCCGCCGCUGCAACACGCGGUGGACCCGAAAGAUAAUGGCAGAGCCCGCGGGGACCCUGGAUGCAACGAGCCUUGUGGCACGCGUCUGGGCGGUCUUCCGGCUCGGUCUUAACCACAUCUACUUCUCAGAUUGACCUCGGAUCAGGUAGGGAUACCCGCUGAACUUAAGCAUAUCA